CCUACGGGUGGCAGCAGUGGGGAAUAUUGGACAAUGGGCGAAAGCCUGAUCCAGCCAUGCCGCGUGUGUGAAGAAGGCCUUCGGGUUGUAAAGCACUUUCAGUGGGGAAGAAAGCCUUGGGGCUAAUACCCUCGAGGAAGGACAUCACCCACAGAAGAAGCACCGGCUAACUCCGUGCCAGCAGCCGCGGUAAUACGGAGGGUGCGAGCGUUAAUCGGAAUUACUGGGCGUAAAGCGCGCGUAGGCGGUCUGAUAAGCCGGUUGUGAAAGCCCCGGGCUCAACCUGGGAACGGCAUCCGGAACUGUCAGGCUAGAGUGCAGGAGAGGAAGGUAGAAUUCCCGGUGUAGCGGUGAAAUGCGUAGAGAUCGGGAGGAAUACCAGUGGCGAAGGCGGCCUUCUGGACUGACACUGACGCUGGGGUGCGAAAGCGUGGGUAGCAAACAGGAUUAGAUACCCUUGUAGUC
RNAcentral lists this ribosomal RNA (465 nucleotides) under Vreelandella stevensii. Its description in RNAcentral is "partial 16S ribosomal RNA". It matches the Rfam family "Bacterial small subunit ribosomal RNA", at positions 338 to 795 of the family's 1533-position model. The record is from RNAcentral. Lineage: Bacteria; Pseudomonadati; Pseudomonadota; Gammaproteobacteria; Oceanospirillales; Halomonadaceae.